GAUGAAGAACGCAGCGAAAUGCGAUAAGUAAUGUGAAUUGCAGAAUUCAGUGAAUCAUCGAAUCUUUGAACGCACAUUGCGCCCGCCAGUAUUCUGGCGGGCAUGCCUGUUCGAGCGUCAUUACAACCCUCAGGCCCCCGGGCCUGGCGUUGGGGAUCGGCGGAGCCCCCCGUGGGCACACGCCGUCCCCCAAAUACAGUGGCGGUCCCGCCGCAGCUUCCAUCGCGUAGUAGCUAACACCUCGCGACUGGAGAGCGGCGCGGCCACGCCGUAAAACACCCAACUCUUCUGAAGUUGACCUCGAAUCAGGUAGGAAUACCCGGUGAACUUAAGCAUAUCAAUAAGCGGAGGA
This 352-nucleotide unclassified non-coding RNA is filed under the name soil metagenome. RNAcentral describes it as "partial contains 5.8S ribosomal RNA, internal transcribed spacer 2, and large subunit ribosomal RNA". The stretch from base 1 to 120 matches the Rfam family "5.8S ribosomal RNA", at positions 35 to 154 of the family's 154-position model. The record is from RNAcentral.